GACGAACGCUGGCGGCGUGCCUAACACAUGCAAGUCGAACGGACAGGCCCUGCUCUUGUGGGGUGCUCGAGUGGCGAACGGGUGAGUAACACGUGUGUAAACUGUCCUUGUAUUUGGGAUAACUUUAGGAAACUGGGGCUCAUAUAGGAUAGGAGAUCCUGCUGCAUGGUGGGGGUUGGAAAGUUUGGGCGGUUGGGGAUGGACUCGCGGCUUAUCAGCUUGUUGGUGGAGUAGUGGCUUACCAAGGUUUUGACGGGUAGCCGGCCUGAGAGGGUGACCGGGGACAAGGGGACUGAGGGACGGCCCAGACGCCAACGGGAGGCAGCGGGGGGGAAUAUUGCACAGUGGGGGGAAGCCUGUGACAGCAAUGCCGGGUUCGGGAAGACGUCUUACGAGUUAUGAACCGCUUUCGCCUGUGACGAAGCGUGAGUGACGGUAAUGGGUAAAGAAGCACCGGCUAACUACGUG
RNAcentral lists this ribosomal RNA (468 nucleotides) under uncultured bacterium. RNAcentral's name for it is "partial 16S ribosomal RNA". It matches the Rfam family "Bacterial small subunit ribosomal RNA", at positions 28 to 507 of the family's 1533-position model. The record is from RNAcentral.